Molecule: ribosomal RNA, 745 nt
Filed under: uncultured bacterium
Lineage: Bacteria
Description: bacterial SSU rRNA
Rfam family: Bacterial small subunit ribosomal RNA
Source: RNAcentral
ACGCUGGCGGCAGGCCUAACACAUGCAAGUCGAGCGGUAGAGAGAAGCUUGCUUCUCUUGAGAGCGGCGGACGGGUGAGUAAUGCCUAGGAAUCUGCCUGGUAGUGGGGGAUAACGCUCGGAAACGGACGCUAAUACCGCAUACGUCCUACGGGAGAAAGCAGGGGACCUUCGGGCCUUGCGCUAUCAGAUGAGCCUAGGUCGGAUUAGCUAGUUGGUGGGGUAAUGGCUCACCAAGGCGACGAUCCGUAACUGGUCUGAGAGGAUGAUCAGUCACACUGGAACUGAGACACGGUCCAGACUCCUACGGGAGGCAGCAGUGGGGAAUAUUGGACAAUGGGCGAAAGCCUGAUCCAGCCAUGCCGCGUGUGUGAAGAAGGUCUUCGGAUUGUAAAGCACUUUAAGUUGGGAGGAAGGGCAGUUGCCUAAUACGUAACUGUUUUGACGUUACCGACAGAAUAAGCACCGGCUAACUCUGUGCCAGCAGCCGCGGUAAUACAGAGGGUGCAAGCGUUAAUCGGAAUUACUGGGCGUAAAGCGCGCGUAGGUGGUUUGUUAAGUUGGAUGUGAAAUCCCCGGGCUCAACCUGGGAACUGCAUUCAAAACUGACUGACUAGAGUAUGGUAGAGGGUGGUGGAAUUUCCUGUGUAGCGGUGAAAUGCGUAGAUAUAGGAAGGAACACCAGUGGCGAAGGCGACCACCUGGACUGAUACUCACACUGAGGUGCGAAAGCGUGGGGAGCAAAC